CUUGAUCAUCCUCAACCGUUUGAUCAUCUCUUCAUCUUUCUUUUUCUUCUUUCCUUUCUUUUGUUUUUCUUCUCCUCCUGUCAAUUUUGUUUGGUAUGUAGCUUUUAUGUCAAACAUAAUUCAUUCAAAUAACUAUGCCGGCAAAAACAUACAUAUUUUUUUUACAUAUAUCAUAAUUUGAAAAUUUUUAAUCGGAUAUUUUAAAUAUUUCGACAGAAGUUUAUACUAUACUGUAUUAAAAUAGAGUAGUUCACCUAAUUUAUACAUUGAGUGGUGAUGUGUAUUUGCGUUUUGGAAUUUCAUGUUUUAUAAAGAGUAUUAUUUUGCUAUUGUGUUGAAUGAAUGCUCUAAGUUAAUGGAGAUUCACAUACAUGUUUGUAUUGACAGUUUAUAUAGCUUUCAUACAAUAUUUGAAUAAACAUAACAUUAUAGUGUACUAAUCUAUUCAUCAAAAUAGUAUAGUUUCUUCCUAUGUCGCUUUCACUCUUAUACUCCCUCCUACUCUUUCUCUCCUCCCCUCCCUUUCCCGGUCUCUUUCUCCAUUCCUCCUUCCUUUCCUCCAUACUUCUAUCUUUCCUCCUUCCUCCUCCUUCCCUCCUGCUCCUCACCUCUCCAUUUUCCUCAUUUUCCCAUUCAUCAAUAUAGUAACUAUCAUCAAUUGCCAUACUAUUCUAAAUGAAAUAUAGUAUAUUUUAGAUCUUCAAGGUUAGGGUUUAGGUAGCUCCGUUAUGGGCGAUGGUUUGGUUUUACAAUUUGGGUUUAGGGUUUGGGUUAAGGGUUUAUGGUUUGGGUUUAGGGUUUAGAGUUUGGGUUUAGGAGGGUUUUCACUACAAGAAAACAGGGGGAUUCUGAUGGCCGAAAUCGUCAG
This 868-nucleotide long non-coding RNA is filed under the name Brassica napus (rape). Its description in RNAcentral is "long non-coding RNA (BNAP_LNC014547)". Lineage: Eukaryota; Viridiplantae; Streptophyta; Magnoliopsida; Brassicales; Brassicaceae. The record is from RNAcentral.